RNAcentral lists this long non-coding RNA (447 nucleotides) under Trifolium pratense (red clover). RNAcentral describes it as "long non-coding RNA (TPRA_LNC006243)". The record is from RNAcentral. Lineage: Eukaryota; Viridiplantae; Streptophyta; Magnoliopsida; Fabales; Fabaceae.
GCUUAUGUGUUUGUGCCUCUAACAGGUUUGUUUUGGUUCAAAGUAAGAGAAUUAAUGGUUAGCUUUUGUAUGUUUAUCAGCAUGGUAUAGCUUUGGUUUUUGUGUCUAGUUGUUUUGUUGGUUUUGUUGUUGUGUUGGGACGAUUAUGUCAAACUAUGCAAAAUAUGUGUCCAUAGAUGAAUAUGGUCAUUCAUAGAAAACAUAGGCUCAAAUGGAAUGAGGAGGUAAGCAUUUAAUUGGCUUGUGAAGUUGUCUUCGAAAAGCAAAGUUGGAUUGACUUUAGUCUUAUAGGGUUACAUUGAGUUCAGUCUUAUAGCUUUGGUGAAAUAUGAAGUAAGUAUCUUCUUUUAUUUUCAUUUUAAUCUAUUAGGGUGUUCCACAAGGUUCCUAAAUAUGAUAGUCCAUGUCUUUUUAUAUACAGUAGCUAUUUAAUGAAUAAUGUUGUAU